GCCAUUUUAGGUAAAUCAUAUAGAAAGUUGAAUAAUACUGAUUAUAGUUAUGUUGAGUAAAUAGGCAUUUUACUAACAUGGAUUGGGUUAAUAUUUUUGUCCACAACAGUCCCGCCUUAAAAUGACUAUUUGCGAAAGAGAGUGAAAGGGAGAGAGAAAGAGACAACUACUAACUGACCCUAACGAUGUUCCUAAUUGGCUGCAGUUCAUCUGUCUGAACAGGCCU
Non-coding RNA from Pelobates cultripes (western spadefoot toad), 226 nucleotides. The record is from the annotation of a GenBank genome assembly. NCBI's taxonomy places the organism in Eukaryota, Metazoa, Chordata, Amphibia, Anura, Pelobatidae.